GGUGAAGAGAUUUUAUACAUCUCAAUAAUAAAAACUAAGCUUCAUUGAUAUAUGUGCAGGUUACUUGUGGUAGUAGCUGAGAUGUUGUGCUAGAUAUUUGCACUGACUUACUAACAUGGCCAGGGAGACAGAAGGGAGAAAAAGAAAGAAAAAACAAGAACUCACAAUGCUCAGCUGCAUGCUACAUACCAUCUCAGUGGCUGUAGUGGCUUCUGUCGUGGCAGCCAUCGCAGCUACAAUAGCUGCUUCAUCUGCACCAAGCAAGGAUGAGAGGAUGGCCAAGAUUGACAUGGCUAUGGCCUCUGCAGCCACAUUGGUGGCCACGCUAGAAGAGGAGCAGCUACCCUGAAGGAAAGAGCAUUAAAAGAGGUAUGGAACAUUGAUACAGUGACACCCUUAGAGAAAGGCAGAGGAGGGAUUGGAAUUUGUGGCAAAGGUACUACAAAUA
This is a non-coding RNA of Arachis ipaensis, 448 nucleotides long. NCBI's taxonomy places the organism in Eukaryota, Viridiplantae, Streptophyta, Magnoliopsida, Fabales, Fabaceae. The record is from RefSeq and is a predicted model, not a curated record.